CUACGGGAGGCACCAGUGGGGAAUAUUGCACAAUGGGGGAAACCCUGAUGCAGCGACGCCGCGAAGGAUGACGGAUUUCGGUCUGUAAACUUCUAUCAGCAGGGAAGACAGUGACUGUACCUGACUAAGAAGCCCCGGCUAACUACGUGCCAGCAGCCGCGGUAAUACGUAGGGGGCAAGCGUUAUCCGGAAUUACUGGGUGUAAAGGGUGCGUAGGUGGCGAGUUAAGUUAGAUGUGAAAGCCCGGGGCUCAACCUCGGGACUGCAUUUAAAACUGGCUUGCUAGAAUACAGGAGAGGUAAGUGGAAUUCCUAGUGUAGCGGUGAAAUGCGUAGAUAUUAGGAGGAACACCAGUGGCGAAGGCGACUUACUGGACUGUUAUUGACACUGAGGCACGAAAGCGUGGGGAGCGAACAGGAUUAGAUACCCUCGUAGUC
RNAcentral lists this ribosomal RNA (437 nucleotides) under uncultured bacterium. RNAcentral describes it as "partial 16S ribosomal RNA". It matches the Rfam family "Bacterial small subunit ribosomal RNA", at positions 339 to 795 of the family's 1533-position model. The record is from RNAcentral.